UCAUCAUCGACUUGAGAGGUGGGAAAUUGUGGAGAAAGAUCACAAAAGUUGUCUUGUGAUUCAUUAGAACAAUCAUAAGAGGGAUGAUCAAGCCACCAUUUGGGAUCGUAUGGAGAAGAGUGAAAAUCUGAGUCUGGAGAGAAUUGAUUUUCCACCAUGGAAUCGUAUAGAGAAGACUAAAUGUGCAGCAGGAGUAUGCAACGAAGGGAAUUUAGAAAAUAUGCAAC
This 227-nucleotide long non-coding RNA is filed under the name Panax ginseng (ginseng). RNAcentral's name for it is "long non-coding RNA (PGIN_LNC018245)". The record is from RNAcentral. Lineage: Eukaryota; Viridiplantae; Streptophyta; Magnoliopsida; Apiales; Araliaceae.